RNAcentral lists this small RNA (244 nucleotides) under Tupaia belangeri (northern tree shrew). Its description in RNAcentral is "7SK RNA (ENSTBEG00000020512.1)". Lineage: Eukaryota; Metazoa; Chordata; Mammalia; Scandentia; Tupaiidae. The record is from RNAcentral.
GGAUGAGAGGGUGAUCUGACAGAGACAGCUGUCAUCCGUCAACCAGUUGACCUUCGAGGUUAAUUCACCUGAUCUAACUGGCUGACUAAGGGUCAUCUCCAUCCAUCCUCACUACCCCAUGGGCAUCCCUUCCAAAAGACCUUAAAGGAUAAUGGAAAAAAAAGUAAUUCUUUCUUUAAUAAAGGCUAUUUGUUCAAUAAAUGUUACCAAGUUUUUUUCUAAAUACAUAUCAAAUAUUAUCUAU